UGGGGAAUAUUGCACAAUGGGCGAAAGCCUGAUGCAGCAACGCCGCGUGAGUGAUGAAGGCCUUCGGGUUGUAAAGCUCUGUCUUUUGGGACUAUAAUGACGGUACCAAAGGAGGAAGCCACGGCUAACUACGUGCCAGCAGCCGCGGUAAUACGUAGGUGGCAAGCGUUGUCCGGAUUUACUGGGCGUAAAGGAUGCGUAGGCGGAUUUUAAGUGAGAUGUGAAAUACCCGGGCUUAACUUGGGUGCUGCAUUUCAAACUGGGAAUCUAGAGUGCGGGAGAGGAGAAUGGAAUUCCUAGUGUAGCGGUGAAAUGCGUAGAGAUUAGGAAGAACACCAGUGGCGAAGGCGAUUCUCUGGACCGUAACUGACGCUGAGGCAUGAAAGCGUGGGUAGCAAACAGGAUUAGAUACCCUGGUAGUCCACGCCGUAAACGAUGAGUACUAGGUGUAGGAGGUAUCGACCCCUUCUGUGCCGCAGUUAACACAAUAAGUACUCCGCCUGGGAAGUACGAUCGCAAGAUUAAACUC
Molecule: ribosomal RNA, 529 nt
Filed under: uncultured bacterium
Lineage: Bacteria
Description: partial 16S ribosomal RNA
Rfam family: Bacterial small subunit ribosomal RNA
Source: RNAcentral